Hirundo rustica (Barn swallow) is the source of this 455-nucleotide long non-coding RNA. RefSeq lists it as uncharacterized. The transcript has 9 exons. NCBI's taxonomy places the organism in Eukaryota, Metazoa, Chordata, Aves, Passeriformes, Hirundinidae. The record is from RefSeq and is a predicted model, not a curated record.
GCGAGAGGAGCGGGUUAGUUACGGCAUUUUUGCCCGCGAAAUGGUGCUUCUGUCUGAGGCACGGAAUCCUCACUUGUGGGUUCCACGUGGCCCCUGCCCAGGGUGGAGAAGCGGGAGAGGCCUCGGCCUGGGGUGACGUUUAGAGCUCCACGAAGUGACCAAAAAUGACCCAAGUUCAGCCACGGGAGCUGGGGAUCCCCGAUGGGCCUGGAUUCAUUCCAGUUCUGCCCCCCCGAGGGUCCGAAAUGGGGUGACCCCCUGAGCCAUGGGGGAAUUUAGGGGGUCGUGAAUCCAACCCAGGGAUUUUGGGGGGACAUUCGUGUUUUGCAAAGGAUUCAAGGUGACUCCAGGCCUGGCACGCACCUGGAUGCAGGUGCUGCAGGUGCUGGGGGGGCUCAGCUCACGGAUCAUCGAUGUCUUUAUCAAUGCAAAUAAAGUUAUUUUUUUGUUAAAAA